RNAcentral lists this non-coding RNA (31 nucleotides) under Homo sapiens (human). The record is from RNAcentral. Lineage: Eukaryota; Metazoa; Chordata; Mammalia; Primates; Hominidae.
UGCAACAGCGCCCAGCUCAGGGCCUUAUGAG